UAGAAAGUACACAUUGGCUC
This 20-nucleotide non-coding RNA is filed under the name Mus musculus (house mouse). The record is from RNAcentral. Lineage: Eukaryota; Metazoa; Chordata; Mammalia; Rodentia; Muridae.